UACAUAGGGUGCAAGCGUUGUCCGGAAUUAUUGGGCGUAAAGAGCUCGUAGGUCGUUUGUUACGUCGGAUGUGAAAACCUGAGGCUCAACCUCAGGCCUGCAUUCGAUACGGGCAAACUAGAGUUUGGUAGGGGAGACUGGAAUUCCUGGUGUAGCGGUGGAAUGCGCAGAUAUCAGGAGGAACACCAAUGGCGAAGGCAGGUCUCUGGGCCAAUACUGACACUGAGGAGCGAAAGUCUGGGGAG
Molecule: ribosomal RNA, 245 nt
Filed under: uncultured Actinomycetales bacterium
Lineage: Bacteria; Bacillati; Actinomycetota; Actinomycetes; Actinomycetales
Description: partial 16S ribosomal RNA
Rfam family: Bacterial small subunit ribosomal RNA
Source: RNAcentral